UACGUAGGGCGCAAGCGUUGUCCGGAAUUAUUGGGCGUAAAGAGCUCGUAGGCGGUUUGUCGCGUCUGGUGUGAAAACUCAAGGCUCAACCUUGAGCUUGCAUCGGGUACGGGCAGACUAGAGUGCGGUAGGGGUGACUGGAAUUCCUGGUGUAGCGGUGAAAUGCGCAGAUAUCAGGAGGAACACCGGUGGCGAAGGCGGGUCUCUGGGCCGAUACUGACGCUGAGGAGCGAAAGCGUGGGGAGCGAACAGG
This 253-nucleotide ribosomal RNA is filed under the name uncultured bacterium. RNAcentral describes it as "partial 16S ribosomal RNA". It matches the Rfam family "Bacterial small subunit ribosomal RNA", at positions 524 to 776 of the family's 1533-position model. The record is from RNAcentral.